Molecule: long non-coding RNA, 1964 nt
Organism: Leptopilina boulardi
Lineage: Eukaryota; Metazoa; Arthropoda; Insecta; Hymenoptera; Figitidae
Exons: 5
Source: RefSeq, a predicted model, not a curated record
UACGAUUAUUCCUGUGGGAAGCCGGAGAAACGCCUCUUGGAAUCGAAACUCUUUCUGGACUUCGAGUUAUUCGCGGUAGAGUGAGAUUUGAGGUUUCACGUUCUGGAAUAUAAUCUUGAUCAUCCGCUGGACCACCCCAAUCGUCAUCUUUCAACUACCUGUGAAGACAGCAAAUCAGCACCAAUCGACUCGACACUCUUUGGAGUAACGAUUUCAUCGACAAAUGGAUCUGCGAAGCACAAAUUAUUGCCUGCGAACGAUGGGGUCAAGUCAGAGAAAAGACACAGUCGAACCGAGACGACCGUGAGAGUUUGCCAGCAGACUCGACUCACAGAUGUAGGAAAAUGGGUCCAUAGUAUAGGAAAGGUCACAAAUAGAAGGUGAACGAAAGCAAGUAAAGUGAGUUGAGUAUAUUUUAUAUUCAAUGUGCAAGAGAAAGAAAGGAUAAUAAGAAUUUCUUUAGGGUGGGACAAGAAAAAUGUCCUCGCUUCUUCUAAAUUUAAAAGUUAUAAUAACAAAAAGAGAAAGAGGAGACAGUGGGUGGUAAUGAGGAGAAAGGGGUGGAGGGAAGAAGAUUUAAAGAGAUUCUCUCUAAGGUUAAAUGACGCCUCUGGCUAUGGGCCAAGAAUGCGGAACUUGAAGAGGUACGAAUUUAAUUUUUUUUUUGACAUUUUUUUCUUAAGUGCGUCAAUCUAAUCCUGAUUAUUUCCAUUUUCUGGGGAAUUUUUGAAAUUUUUUUCUAUACAUUGUAUAUAUAGAUAAUCUUUUACAAGGCGAUUGUUCAAUUAUAAGAGACGGGAGGUAUCGCUUGGAAUGUCGUGAGUUAAUUGAGAAUUCAAAGAGAAUCCUCGGAGCGUGCCACUGAAUGUGAAGAUGAAUUUUUUUCUCUUUCAAUUUUUUUUUGCGCGCGAGGAGAAAAGCAAUGAUACAUCCAAUAGAAUUGAGUUCCCACUGUGUGGAACGAACUGUAUGGACGAGAGAUUUUCCAUUCGUGGCUGUAAAAUAACAAACAGAUUGAAAAAAUCUAUCAAAUGGAAAUGGAAAGCAAUCUAAACUGAAGUGAAACUUGGAAGAAGAAGAUUAGUUUUUGAAAUAAUCAACCCUGGCCUAGAAUGAUUCGCGUUGAAAAAAAAUUGGCAUCUCAAUUACAAAGUUUUGCCUCGAAGGCGCUACAACUUUUCAAUCAGAGAAUCACAUAUUGUAUGUGUAGAGCGAGUAAUUGGCGGCAUUUUCACGCACAUCGUAUAUACUUUUGAAUCCCAAGUGCUUUGACUAUAUAGAAAUAAUUCUUGGGCACGUUUCAAACUCUUGAACGCAACUAAAAUGACCAAAGGCAGUGCGCAUACAUAUUAUCGGAUCUUCACCGCAGGAUUUCCUCAUCGGCUGAUGCGAAGCGUUACAAGGAAUGCAUUUUCGAUUGACUUCCUGCUAAUGAUUACCAAAGGAAUCGUACCUUAUUAUCUGCAAUCAUCGAACUGGCAAAAUGUCUAUCAUCAAACGUCAGUAAAGGAUCAGUGAUCAACGUUUGAUUUUCUACAAUUCUCCAACUAUGGGGCGAGGAAACGGGAGAGAGAGAUAGAAGUUGGGUUUCGCGAUUUAUGUACUAACAUAUGUACACAUAAAGUAAAACCUUUUGCUUGGCAACUUGCGGCUCUUUUCACGGUGCAUCGUACUCGCUCAAGAAAUGUGAAGAUCCUUGAGGGAAAUUUUUCCUUAUACGAAUUAAAUGGAAUGGAUUUUAAAAGGAGGGAAAAAUUGUCGUUCUAGUUAAAGAAUUCUCUAUGUAAUUAAUUGGAAAAUGAAUGUCGAAUGGAUUUCUCAAUAAAUAUAUAUAUAUAUAGAAAACUUUUGGAUUUAAAAAUAAUUUGGAGUCAUGAUUGUUAAUUGGAGCAAUUUUAAGUUAAAAGAUAAUUAUCAAAAUGAAUUCGAAAUGUGGAAAUUGAUUUCGUAAAUUUCAAUUAUAA